Molecule: long non-coding RNA, 612 nt
Filed under: Equus caballus (horse)
Lineage: Eukaryota; Metazoa; Chordata; Mammalia; Perissodactyla; Equidae
Description: lncRNA (ENSECAG00000045990.1)
Source: RNAcentral
AAAAGCUCAGAGUAAUGAGAUGUGAGAAGGACUCACCAAGGCUUACCAGCUUUGAAGUUGCAGGAAAAGAGCUGAGCCAAGGAAUGCAGGUGGUCUCUAGAAGCUAGAACAGGGUGAAGAGAAUGUGGUAGGAGUGAGUGUAUCAUUGCCAAGCCUAGAGCUCAAGAGGCCUUGCAAAUUACACUGUGUUUCAGAACCCUGCCACCACCAUGAGUACAAGGCCGUCUUGCCUGCUGGAUAUGAGAGAAGAUGAGAGAAGCCCACAUGAAGAGAGGAGCUGCCCCAGCUGAGGCAAUCCUGGACGAACCAGCCCCUAACCAACCCGGCCAUAGAUUAUUCACCCAUGAUUAGCCCAGAAAAGCCCCAGCUGAGUGAAGCCCAAAUUGCUAAUUUGGAGAUAUAUGAGCUAAAUAAAUAGUUGUUGUUCUAAGCCACCAUGUUUUGGGACUGAUUGUUACAUGGCAAUUGUUAGGUAGCUUCUUUGUGUACUGGCAAAUGAAAAAAGAAAUGCUCCUGAUUUCAUCUUAAAUUACCACUUGGGUUUUAACUGGAAGAAGCAGCAGUUCCCUUUUAGGGUCAACACGUUAGAUGAAAGAACUGACUUGUUUCUCC